RNAcentral lists this transfer RNA (71 nucleotides) under Agrilus sp. AGR01. RNAcentral describes it as "tRNA-Lys". Lineage: Eukaryota; Metazoa; Arthropoda; Insecta; Coleoptera; Buprestidae. The record is from RNAcentral.
CAUUAGAUAGCUGAAAGCCAGCUUUGGUCUCUUAAACCACGUUAUAGUAAAUUAGCGAUUACUUCUAAUGA